Molecule: ribosomal RNA, 728 nt
Filed under: uncultured bacterium
Lineage: Bacteria
Description: bacterial SSU rRNA
Rfam family: Bacterial small subunit ribosomal RNA
Source: RNAcentral
UUCUUUAUCACCGAGUGCUUGCACUCACCGAUACAGAGUUGAGUGGCGAACGGGUGAGUAACACGUGGGCAACCUGCCCAAAAGAGGGGGAUAACACUUGGAAACAGGUGCUAAUACCGCAUAACCAUAGUUACCGCAUGGUAACUAUGUAAAAGGUGGCUAUGCUACCGCUUUUGGAUGGGCCCGCGGCGCAUUAGCUAGUUGGUGGGGUAAAGGCUUACCAAGGCAAUGAUGCGUAGCCGAACUGAGAGGUUGAUCGGCCACAUUGGGACUGAGACACGGCCCAAACUCCUACGGGAGGCAGCAGUAGGGAAUCUUCCACAAUGGGCGAAAGCCUGAUGGAGCAACGCCGCGUGGGUGAAGAAGGUCUUCGGAUCGUAAAACCCUGUUGUUAGAGAAGAAAGUGCGUGAGAGUAACUGUUCACGUUUCGACGGUAUCUAACCAGAAAGCCACGGCUAACUACGUGCCAGCAGCCGCGGUAAUACGUAGGUGGCAAGCGUUAUCCGGAUUUAUUGGGCGUAAAGGGAACGCAGGCGGUCUUUUAAGUCUGAUGUGAAAGCCUUCGGCUUAACCGGAGUAGUGCAUUGGAAACUGGGAGACUUGAGUGCAGAAGAGGAGAGUGGAACUCCAUGUGUAGCGGUGAAAUGCGUAGAUAUAUGGAAGAACACCAGUGGCGAAAGCGGCUCUCUGGUCUGUAACUGACGCUGAGGUUCGAAAGCGUGGGUAG